UGAAGGCCUGGCUUUUGUUGGGUUGGAUGAGUGGCGAACGGGUGAGUAACACGUGAGUAACCUGCCCUCUUCUUUGGGAUAACGCCCGGAAACGGGUGCUAAUACUGGAUAUUCACUGGCCUUCGCAUGGGGGUUGGUGGAAAGGUUUGUUCUGGUGGGGGAUGGGCUCGCGGCCUAUCAGCUUGUUGGUGGGGUGAUGGCCUACCAAGGCUUUGACGGGUAGCCGGCCUGAGAGGGUGACCGGUCACAUUGGGACUGAGAUACGGCCCAGACUCCUACGGGAGGCAGCAGUGGGGAAUAUUGCACAAUGGGCGAAAGCCUGAUGCAGCGACGCCGCGUGAGGGAUGGAGGCCUUCGGGUUGUAAACCUCUUUCGCUCAUGGUCAAGCCGCAACUGUGGGUUGUGGUGAGGGUAGUGGGUAAAGAAGCGCCGGCUAACUACGUGCCAGCAGCCGCGGUAAUACGUAGGGCGCGAGCGUUGUCCGGAAUUAUUGGGCGUAAAGGGCUUGUAGGCGGUUGGUCGCGUCUGCCGUGAAAUUCUCUGGCUUAACUGGGGGCGUGCGGUGGGUACGGGCUGACUUGAGUGCGGUAGGGGAGACUGGAACUCCUGGUGUAGCGGUGGAAUGCGCAGAUAUCAGGAAGAACACCGGUGGCGAAGGCGGGUCUCUGGGCCGUUACUGACGCUGAGGAGCGAAAGCGUGGGGAGCGAACAGGAUUAGAUAGCCUGGUAGUCCACGCUGUAAACGUUGGGCACUAGGUGUGGGGGCCACCCGUGGUUUCUGCGCCGUAGCUAACG
RNAcentral lists this ribosomal RNA (795 nucleotides) under uncultured Actinomyces sp. RNAcentral describes it as "bacterial SSU rRNA". It matches the Rfam family "Bacterial small subunit ribosomal RNA", at positions 67 to 857 of the family's 1533-position model. The record is from RNAcentral. Lineage: Bacteria; Bacillati; Actinomycetota; Actinomycetes; Actinomycetales; Actinomycetaceae.